Molecule: ribosomal RNA, 417 nt
Filed under: uncultured cyanobacterium
Lineage: Bacteria; Bacillati; Cyanobacteriota
Description: bacterial SSU rRNA
Rfam family: Bacterial small subunit ribosomal RNA
Source: RNAcentral
CGGCUGCUAAUACCGGAUGUGCCGAAAGGUGAAAGAUUAAUUGCCUAGAGAUGAGCUCGCGCCUGAUUAGCUAGUUGGUGUUGUAAGGGACUACCAAGGCGACGAUCAGUAGCUGGUCUGAGAGGACGAUCAGCCACACUGGGACUGAGACACGGCCCAGACUCCUACGGGAGGCAGCAGUGGCGAAUUUUCCGCAUUGGGCGAAAGCCUGACGGAGCAAUAGCGCGUGAGGGAGGAAGGCUCUUGGGUUGUAAACCUCUUUUGUCAAGGAAGAAUACAAUGACGGUACUUGAGGAAUAAGCAUCGGCUAACUCCGUGCCAGCAGCCGCGGUAAUACGGAGGAUGCAAGCGUUAUCCGGAAUGAUUGGGCGUAAACCGUCCGCAGGUGGCAAUGAAAGUCUGCUGUUCAAGAGUGAG